Molecule: ribosomal RNA, 253 nt
Filed under: uncultured bacterium
Lineage: Bacteria
Description: partial 16S ribosomal RNA
Rfam family: Bacterial small subunit ribosomal RNA
Source: RNAcentral
UACAGAGGUCCCAAGCGUUGUUCGGAUUCAUUGGGCGUAAAGGGUGUAUAGGUGGCGCCGUAAGUCGGGUGUGAAAUUUCGGAGCUUAACUCCGAAACUGCAUUCGAUACUGCGGUGCUUGAGGACUGGAGAGGAGACUGGAAUUCAUGGUGUAGCAGUGAAAUGCGUAGAUAUCAUAAGGAAGACCAGUGGCGAAGGCGGGUCUCUGGACAGUUCCUGACACUGAGACACGAAGGCCAGGGGAGCAAACGGG